Ribosomal RNA from Pteropus vampyrus (large flying fox), 119 nucleotides. Lineage: Eukaryota; Metazoa; Chordata; Mammalia; Chiroptera; Pteropodidae. The record is from Ensembl.
UACUACAACCAUGCUGCUCCGAACACGUCUGAUCUCGUCUGAUCUCAGAAGCUAUGCAGGGUCAGGCCCGGUUAGUACUUGGAUGGGAGACCAUCUAGGAAUACCAGGUGCUGUAGGCU